Molecule: long non-coding RNA, 1260 nt
Filed under: Solanum tuberosum (potato)
Lineage: Eukaryota; Viridiplantae; Streptophyta; Magnoliopsida; Solanales; Solanaceae
Description: long non-coding RNA (STUB_LNC004246)
Source: RNAcentral
CCACCCACUAUUUUUGACUUCAUAACAACAAAAAGGAAAAAUAAUAAUUGAAAGAAUAAAAAGAGUAUAUAGUUUUAUUUUGAGAUUAAGAGUAAACUAUAGAUGCACAUUUGUGUUAUUGACUUACAAAUUAGACUAAUAUUUUCCUUGCUACAAAGUUGCAUUCUUUUUUUGGGAUUGAAAUCCAUUACAUUUUCAUUAGGUAUGAUUUAUUUAAGGGAAAAAUGUCAAAAAUGUCCUUAAACUAUGUGAAAAGAAACAAAAUGUCCUUACUGUCAACAGUUUGGCUAAAAAAUGUCCUUACCGUCAAUACUUUGGUUCAAAAUUACCGUUAAACUAUGUGAAAAGAGCAAAAAUGCCCUCCGUUUGUAGUUUGGUCCAAAAAUGUCUUGCCGUCAAUAUUUUGAUAAAAAAAUGUUCUAAUGGGUAAAAACUACUCACUUUCCAAAGGGAAAAAAGACAAAUAUACCCCAAACUAUUGUAAAUGGUAUAUAAAUAUUCUACACCAUACUUUUGAAACAUUGAGUGUCUCUAUCGUCUAAAAACUAGAGCAUAUAUGCCCUUCACUCUAAUGGAAAACCAAAUAGAGACACGUUACGCAAUUCUACGAAGAAAACCCUGUCCAUAUCCACCCAUCCACCCACUUAACUCACCCGUAUUAACCCAUUACUCACGCUUAAACUAAACCCAUCCAAAACUGAAUUACUCACAAAUUCCGGUUCUCUUUCCAACCCAAUUACGACCCCAUUUUACUGAUCUGUAACAUCAGUACUUUGAACCGGAAUCACGUUGAUUUCAUUUGCUACCGAACUCAUUUAAGUGCCAUCCCUCAACUGCUAAUUCUGUUGUUUAAGACCUCUGAAAAAGAAUUGAGACUUCAUGUGUUUUGAUAGAGAGAGAAAGAGCUUUGAGUUGAGUUUUUGUAGAGAGAGAAAGGGAUGUAGUGAGGUCAAGCCAUUGAAAUGGAGAAAUCUUAGAUCAAAGCUCACUUCACCUUCUUUCUCUUUGUUCAAACUAACUGUGAACAAAUGGAUUUUAUAUGACAGAAGCUUACUUCACACUUAGAAAUCGUUUGGUUUGAAUAUGAAUUAUGAUGUGAUAAAUUAUGUAUUUCGUUCCAAUCUUCAAGUUCGCCCCAGUCUUUCUCUCUCUUAAUUUCGUUCUUCAAUGGUUUGAUUUGGUAGUCUUCGUCAAUGACUUAAAAAUCUUUGGAGUGGAAAAUUGGGCUUUUAGGCCCUUAAUCAUAAUAUAAUACUGAAA